Molecule: ribosomal RNA, 503 nt
Filed under: uncultured bacterium
Lineage: Bacteria
Description: bacterial SSU rRNA
Rfam family: Bacterial small subunit ribosomal RNA
Source: RNAcentral
AGUUUGAUCCUGGCUCAGGAUGAACGCUAGCGGCAGGCUUAAUACAUGCAAGUCGUGGGGCAGCAGGUUUGUAGCAAUACAGAUGCUGGCGACCGGCAAACGGGUGCGGAACACGUACAGAACCUUCCUUUGAGCGGGGAAUAGCCCAGAGAAAUUUGGAUUAAUACCCCAUAGUAUAAUGAAGUGGCAUCACUUUAUUAUUAAAGAUUUAUCACUCGAAGAUGGCUGUGCGGCUGAUUAGGUAGUUGGCGGGGUAAAGGCCCACCAAGCCUGCGAUCAGUAACUGGUGUGAGAGCACGACCAGUCACACGGGCACUGAGACACGGGCCCGACUCCUACGGGAGGCAGCAGUAAGGAAUAUUGGUCAAUGGAGGCAACUCUGAACCAGCCAUGCCGCGUGGAGGAUGAAGGUCCUCUGGAUUGUAAACUUCUUUAUAUGGGACGAAAAAGGCUUUCUAAGUCGUCUGACGGUACCAUAUGAAUAAGCACCGGCUAACUCCGUG